UCGAGCGGAUGAAGAGAGCUUGCUCUCUGAUUCAGCGGCGGACGGGUGAGUAAUGCCUAGGAAUCUGCCUAUUAGUGGGGGACAACGUUUCGAAAGGAACACUAAUACCGCAUACGUCCUACGGGAGAAAGCAGGGGGCCUUCGGGCCUUGCGCUAAUAGAUGAGCCUAGGUCGGAUUAGCUAGUUGGUGAGGUAAAGGCUCACCAAGGCGGACGAUCCGUAACUGGUCUGAGAGGAUGAUCAGUCACACUGGAACUGAGACACGGUCCAGACUCCUACGGGAGGCAGCAGUGGGGAAUAUUGGACAAUGGGCGAAAGCCUGAUCCAGCCAUGCCGCGUGUGUGAAGAAGGUCUUCGGAUUGUAAAGCACUUUAAGUUGGGAGGAAGGGCAGUAAGUUAAUACCUUGCUGUUUUGACGUUACCGACAGAAUAAGCACCGGCUAACUUCGUGCCAGCAGCCGCGGUAAUACGAAGGGUGCAAGCGUUAAUCGGAAUUACUGGGCGUAAAGCGCGCGUAGGUGGUUCGUUAAGUUGGAUGUGAAAGCCCCGGGCUCAACCUGGGAACUGCAUCCAAAACUGGCGAGCUAGAGUAUGGCAGAGGGUGGUGGAAUUUCCUGUGUAGCGGUGAAAUGCGUAGAUAUAGGAAGGAACACCAGUGGCGAAGGCGACCACCUGGGCUAAUACUGACACUGAGGUGCGAAAGCGUGGGGAGCAAACAGGAUUA
RNAcentral lists this ribosomal RNA (724 nucleotides) under uncultured Pseudomonadales bacterium. RNAcentral's name for it is "bacterial SSU rRNA". It matches the Rfam family "Bacterial small subunit ribosomal RNA", at positions 62 to 780 of the family's 1533-position model. The record is from RNAcentral. Lineage: Bacteria; Pseudomonadati; Pseudomonadota; Gammaproteobacteria; Pseudomonadales.